RNAcentral lists this ribosomal RNA (497 nucleotides) under uncultured bacterium. Its description in RNAcentral is "partial 16S ribosomal RNA". It matches the Rfam family "Bacterial small subunit ribosomal RNA", at positions 28 to 507 of the family's 1533-position model. The record is from RNAcentral.
GAUGAACGCUGGCGGCGUGCCUAAUACAUGCAAGUCGAGCGAACAGACGAGGAGCUUGCUCCUCUGACGUUAGCGGCGGACGGGUGAGUAACACGUGGAUAACCUACCUAUGAGACUGGGAUAACUUCGGGAAACCGGAGCUAAUACCGGAUAAUAUAUUGAACCGCAUGGUUCAAUAGUGAAAGACGGUUUUGCUGUCACUUAUAGAUGGAUCCGCGCCGCAUUAGCUAGUUGGUAAGGUAACGGCUUACCAAGGCAACGAUGCGUAGCCGACCUGAGAGGGUGAUCGGCCACACUGGAACUGAGACACGGUCCAGACUCCUACGGGAGGCAGCAGUAGGGAAUCUUCCGCAAUGGGCGAAAGCCUGACGGAGCAACGCCGCGUGAGUGAUGAAGGUCUUCGGAUCGUAAAACUCUAUUAUUAGGGAAGAACAAAUGUGUAAGUAACUAUGCACGUCUUGACGGUACCUAAUCAGAAAGCCACGGCUAACUACGUG